UUUAAGUGCAAUCGUGAGUAUUUGUGCUCAACGUUUGACCGUCUGUUUUAUUUCAAAUUUUUUAUUAUUAGUAUUUUGUAUUGUUGUUAGAUGAUAAAAUAUGAAUAAUAUUUUACGCAUGACUUAUUUUUUUAUUUUUUUAUAAAUUUUUUAAAUAAGAUGGAUGGUUAAAUGAUGGACACAUAAACUUAUAACUGCACUUAAA
Non-coding RNA from Oryza glumipatula, 205 nucleotides. The record is from Rfam. Lineage: Eukaryota; Viridiplantae; Streptophyta; Magnoliopsida; Poales; Poaceae.